RNAcentral lists this ribosomal RNA (252 nucleotides) under uncultured bacterium. Its description in RNAcentral is "partial 16S ribosomal RNA". It matches the Rfam family "Bacterial small subunit ribosomal RNA", at positions 524 to 776 of the family's 1533-position model. The record is from RNAcentral.
UACGUAGGGGGCGAGCGUUAUCCGGAUUUAUUGGGCGUAAAGCGUGUGUAGGCGGUUUAUUAAGUUUAUGAUUAAAGCCCGAGGCUCAACCUCGGUUCGUCAUAAAAACUGGUAGACUCGAGUGUGGUAGAGGCAAGUGGAAUUUCUAGUGUAGCGGUUAAAUGCGUAGAUAUUAGAAGGAACACCAGUGGCGAAGGCGACUUGCUGGGCCAUUACUGACGCUGAGACACGAAAGCGUGGGGAGCAAAUAGG